GGGGCUGGGGCUCAGCGGUAGAGUGCUUGCCUAGCAUGCAUGAGGCCCUGGGUUCAAUCCUCAGCACCA
Molecule: transfer RNA, 69 nt
Filed under: Urocitellus parryii (Arctic ground squirrel)
Lineage: Eukaryota; Metazoa; Chordata; Mammalia; Rodentia; Sciuridae
Also listed under: 1 other name
Description: Spermophilus parryii (Arctic ground squirrel) tRNA
Rfam family: tRNA
About the family: Transfer RNA (tRNA) molecules are approximately 80 nucleotides in length. Their secondary structure includes four short double-helical elements and three loops (D, anti-codon, and T loops).
Source: Rfam by way of RNAcentral